UGUUGGCUGACAAUUUCUUAUCUACGCUGUGCUUACGAACCGCAUAGCAAAUCAUUACAGCAGUAUGUACAAUUUGGACCCCCUUGGCGUUAUUCCUUCUCGAUAAACUGAGCCGACAUGGAAAGCUUCAUUGAUACAAAUUAAUACAUCUUAAAUGCAUCCAAGCGGGAUAUGUGGUGACACAAAACACAGUCAGGCGUUUACUUCAUAUUCUACACCCCUAUAGAGAGCAACAGAGUUGCAGGAAUCGCCUUCGACGACGUCUUUACAGGAACCCAGGUCCGAAUUUUUUGUGACAUGUUGACUCCUACGAUAAAGUGAAGACAUAUGGCAUUUGUUUUAAUGGCGCAAUUGAUGGGUUCUCACGAAUGGUUAUUUGGCUCCAUUCCUAUUCUACCAAUAGCAAUCCAAAAGUUAUCGCUGGUUACUUCAUGGAUGAGGUUGGAUCCAGGAUGGGUGCUCCUCUAAUUCGAUCUGACCUGGGAACAGAAAACAAUUGUAUGGAGCAGAUACAGUUGUUUUUGAGACAUGACAAUGGGGACGAAUUCGCUAGAAAAUGCCAUAUACUGUAACUUAUAUGGGUCCAGGAACCACAUCCAGCUGAUAGAGAGCUGGUGGGGAUAUUUUAAGCAAACACCAUGUUCAGUACUGGAUGAACAGAUUUGAAGGACAUUUUUCUGGUGACUUUGUGGACAAUAAUGUAAUAUUAUUCACCUGUCUACAAAUAAUCGAGGAAGAAUUGCAGCAUGUUGUUCACCUCUGGAACACUCACAGAAUCCACCCCUGCAGAUACGUUGUAGCGCCGCAUGGCCGUCCACUGCUUAUGGACAGCCUUCCACAGCUGUAUGGGACCAGGGAUCACCUGAAAGGACUCUCUCAACAACAAAUACAGGCAUGUAGAGAGGAAGGCCUUCAGAGAGGUCCAUACCCUUGUCAUGAGACUGUUUUUUACAUUUCAUGCUUUGCAAUGGCAGAGAAUAAUCUGCCUCCACACACUACUCCCAACGAAGCUAUCAAACUGUAUGUGUUCUUACGGGCUUACAUGUUAGCUCAUCUGUAACACAGUCCAGCUAGCACCAGGACUUGGGCCGAACUCGGUUAUCCUGACACUGGCGCCCUGAAGGGGAGACAGCGAGCUGGCGGCCCUGCUGAUCGAGAGGGGUGCCAACCUGGAGGAGGUCAAUGAUGAGGGAUACACUCCACUCAUAGAGGCUGCACAAGAGGGCCAAGAGGACAUGGUGGUGCUGCUUUUGGCACAAGGAAUGGGCUCUCGCUCUCUGGGUUUGAAUUAAACUAGCUAGUGCUUCUGUUUAGAGAUUUUACCUACCAUAUUGACCGUCCAAGCUCAUUGUUGAGGCAAAAUACGAAACCCCUCUUUUGGAAACAAAAUUAUCAAGUGAUAUGAUUAUAUUAAGUUUUAAGCUCAUUAUCUUAUUGAGUGGAUGCAAAAAGGACAAGCUGGCUGUUCCAAAACAAAUUUAAAUCAUUUUUCAAUAGCCAACAGUAGAUUAGUACCCCUUUAGUAAGUGCAUUCCCUGCAAGGCCAUCUUCAAUCCUUCCUCUGUACACUCUUAGAAAAAAGGGUUCUAAAAUAGUUAUUCGGUUGUCCCCAUAGGAUAACCCUUUUUGGUUCCAAGUAGAACCCUUUUGGGUUCCAGGUAGAACCCUUUUGCAUUCAAUGUAAAACCCUGUGUGGAAAGGUUUCUACAUGGAACCCAAACGGGUUCUACUUAGAACCAAAAAGGUUAUUCAAAGGGUUCUCCUAUAAGGUCAACCGAAUAACCCUUUUAGGUUCUAGAUAGCACCUUUUUUUCUAAGAGUGUAGUCUCUGUUGUCUGCAGGUACCAACAUCAACGCUCAGACGGAGGAGACCCAGGAGACGGCCCUGCCGGGGCCAACAUUAAGCUGGGCUGCUCAACACUUCUCAUAGAGGGACACCUGGAGCUGGUCAAAUACCUGCUGGCUGCAAGAGCCAAUGUCCAUGCUGCCACUGCGAUGGGAGACACAGCGCUGAUGUACGCCUGAGAGAACGGACACACAGACGUGGCUGACGUGCUGCUGCAGACGGGGGCUGACCUGAAACAUGAAUCGGAGGGGGACAGAACCCCUCUAAUGAAAGUCAAGAAGGACCAAUGUUUAGUGAGGUCAUUUGCAGACUCCAAAUUUGUAUUUCCUCAAAAACAAGGUGGUCCCUGACAUUUGGAAGAUGGACAUGAGCGAGAUCUUAGAAUCGUCCACCAGCGACGAGGAGGACAAGGAAGUAAAGAAGAGUGAAGAGGAGAAGGAGGUGCUAAGGGUGGUCACACCAUCGGGGUGUCCUACCUCCUUGACUACCCCAACAACAUCCUUUCGGGCCCCGUGCCAAACCUACUGUAUCUCAGCUCUCAUCCCCCUCCCAUGACACCUCUCAGGCUCCACAACUUCCAUUCCAAGCCCUGGCCAUGGUAUUGCCUCCCCAAGCGCCAGACAGAGUACCCUCCAACAUCACAACACCUCCACCUUUCAUCACAAAAGCUCAGUCCAAUAGCGGUUCCAAGCAGAGGCUGAGCCCCUUCCAGGGUAAUACGUCACUGCAGACGGUCCAGACACAUACCUGCUGCCCCCCUUCUACCUGUACCAGCCCCUGGAGUGCAUUGUGGAAGAGACAGAGAGCAGGCUGAAUGAGCCAAAGGAUCUUAGACAUAGAGAAGGCAGAGCUGCAGAAGAAGAAGAUCCUCAAGGAGCAGUUCACCAAAGAGUACAUGAAGGCCAAAGGCCUGAAGGAUGACCCGGGGCACCCCCUACCCCUGUAGCUUCUUACCUUGGCCACUCAGCAUUCUAGACUUUAAUACAGCAGAAUACCCUGACAGCUCCUGCCCUGACCUGCUGAGGCUGAUGGUGAGCCAGCAGUAGAUGUUGGGGCAGCAGUUGAUGGGACUGGGCCUUCUCACUCAGUCCCCCGACAGACUCAUAGUGGCCUUCCCCGCACAGACACGCUGGACGACAUCAUGGCAGGAGCGGUGAGCAGUAGAGUGUCUAUGUUGAACACUACAACCUCGCCCAUACCCACAGAACAGAUGCCCAUCAAUUCAGUGUCCCCACCCUCCAUGCUCCCCCUCUGGACAUCGAUGCACAUCUACAUCACCACAUCCUACUGGAUAAAGGUGAGGACAUCGAAGCCCAGUCUGAGAGAACAGUAUAAGAGAACCAAAAACACACCUCUCUCCCUGGUCUGCUCUCUAGGAAGACAAGAGGUCCUGCUCUUCACUAAAACACAUUCUUCCCUGAACAUCACAUUAAUUAAUUGUUAACUUUUUGAUAAAACACCGGGGUAUGGCCUUAGUGGAAAUGCCCCAAUAAUAACCUGUGGUCCAUUCCUUCCAGGUAGUAAAACUGUUGCUGCUGCGUGGGGCCAACAAUGAGCACUGUAACGUUUCAGAUUACACUCCUCUCAGCCUGGCCGCCUCAGGGGGCUACAUCAACUUCAUCAAGAUCCUCCUGAAUGCUGGCGCUGAAAUCAACUCCAGAUACGACAGUUUAUCAACCUCUGAAACACACAACCUUCCCUGACUAGGAAGUACACUGGGUAUCUCUCUUCUGAUGCUGGAUGCCAUGAACGGUCAUGUCCUUGUGGUCAAGCUGCUGCUGGACAUGGGCUCAGACAUCAACACUCACAUCGAGACCAACCGCAACACAGCACUGACCCUGGCCUGCCAACCUGACGCACCGCUCCAAGACAGGUCUGACUCCUCUCAUGGAGGCUACAUCAGGUGGCUAUGCUGAGGUGGGGCGGGUGCUGCUGGACAAGCACUAUAGUGUGUGUGACAUGACGUCUUAACAGACCAUCCAAAGUGGUGAACUAGACUUUUACCUCUUUGACACAUAUUACAUCAGCACCCGUCAUGAAUCUCAUUAUCCUCAUUAUAGUCCAACCUCAUCCAACCCUCUGUUAUAUUGCUGGAAAUACCGGAAAUUCUGAAUCUCUGCUUAGUUUUGUGGGGAUGCCUGCAGUAACUUCAAAACCUUUCUAGUCGCCGGCUUUUGUUCUGCAUAAAUAUUCUCAAUAUCCUCUUUCCUCUGGAGUGUUUGUGACAGCACUUCUCUCGCAGCAUCCAACACAUGAUCAUAUUAUUGUGGCGUGAACUCCAAUGUCUGGAGGUUUUGUGGCGUGACCUCGAUCUUCUGGAGGAGUUGUGGCGUGACCUCUGACGUCUGGAGGGGUUAUGGAGUGACCUUUGACAUCUGGAGGGGUUGUGGCGUGACCUUUGUCUUCUGGAUGGGUUGUGGCUUGACCUCUGUCUCCUGUAGGGGUUGUGGUGUGGCCAUUCAUAUCUGGAGGGGUGGUGGCAUGAACUCUGACGUCUGGAGGGGUUAUGGAGUGACUUCUGACAUCUGGAGGGGUUUGUGACGUGACUUCUGUCUUCUGCAGGGUAUGUGGCAUGACAUCUGUUGUCUGUAGGAGGAUCAAUUGUAAAAGCGAUCAGGUACUGGUCUAGGUUGUGUAGCUCAUUCUGUUGGCAAUGUUCAAAUACCAGUAUGUCAUCCAGCUGAUACGGAAGGGGUUCUCCAUGGUGUGGCGCAAACUGUAUCUCUGAUAAGUCUAAUAGGUCUGAGCGAUAGCUAACAAUCCUUUUAGUUUUGGUUAAAGUGACAGCAACUGUUUCUGUAACUCGUUCGGCAUCACGAACAACUUCCUGUUUCAGCUUCUUGGCGAUGAGGUCAAACCUCAACACCCCAAAUUUUUUGUACCGCUUACAGUUCUUCCAUCUUCAAGAACACUUUCUUGAAAGUCAAAGAUGUCAUGAGAGAAAUCUUCCCAUGGUCCUUUCUUAGAUUUGUCUGAAAAGUUUUUAGAACAUCAAUGCUCUGGGCCUAAUGAAUUUAUUUCAAUUGACAGAUUUUCUUAAAUGAACUGUAACUCCGUUAAAACAUUGAAAUUGUU
This is a long non-coding RNA of Coregonus clupeaformis (lake whitefish), 4921 nucleotides long. RefSeq lists it as uncharacterized. Lineage: Eukaryota; Metazoa; Chordata; Actinopteri; Salmoniformes; Salmonidae. The transcript is spliced from 11 exons. The record is from RefSeq and is a predicted model, not a curated record.